UACGUAGGGGGCAAGCGUUGUCCGGAUUUAUUGGGCGUAAAGAGCGUGUAGGCGGCCAAACAGGUCAGCUGUGAAACUCGAGGCUCAACCUCGAGACGUCGGUUGAAACCGUUUGGCUAGAGUCCGGAAGAGGAGAGUGGAAUUCCCGGUGUAGCGGUGAAAUGCGCAGAUAUCGGGAAGAACACCCGUGGCGAAGGCGGCUCUCUGGACGGUACUGACGCUGAGACGCGAAAGCGUGGGAGCGAACGAGG
Molecule: ribosomal RNA, 251 nt
Filed under: uncultured bacterium
Lineage: Bacteria
Description: partial 16S ribosomal RNA
Rfam family: Bacterial small subunit ribosomal RNA
Source: RNAcentral